AUUGAACGCUGGCGGCAUGCCUUACACAUGCAAGUCGAACGGAAACGGGCCUUCGGGUGCCGACGAGUGGCGAACGGGUGAGUAAUACAUCGGAACGUGUCCGAUCGUGGGGGAUAACGAGGCGAAAGCUUUGCUAAUACCGAAUACGAUCUACGGAUGAAAGCAGGGGACCGCAAGGCCUUGCGCGGACGGAGCGGCCGAUGGCAGAUUAGGUAGUUGGUGGGAUAAAAGCUUACCAAGCCGACGAUCUGUAGCUGGUCUGAGAGGAUGAUCAGCCACACUGGGACUGAGACACGGCCCAGACUCCUACGGGAGGCAGCAGUGGGGAAUUUUGGACAAUGGGCGCAAGCCUGAUCCAGCCAUGCCGCGUGCAGGAUGAAGGCCUUCGGGUUGUAAACUGCUUUUGUACGGAACGAAAAGCCUUCUUUUAAUACAGGAGGGUCAUGACGGUACCGUAAGAAUAAGCACCGGCUAACUACGUG
RNAcentral lists this ribosomal RNA (482 nucleotides) under uncultured bacterium. Its description in RNAcentral is "partial 16S ribosomal RNA". It matches the Rfam family "Bacterial small subunit ribosomal RNA", at positions 30 to 507 of the family's 1533-position model. The record is from RNAcentral.